GAUUAACGCUGGCGGCGUGCAUAACACAUGCAAGUCGAACGAAGUGGCGGACGGGUGAGUAACGCGUGAGUAACCUGCCUUAGAGAAGGGGAUAGCCUUUGGAAACGAAGAAUAAUACACUAUCCUCUAAGAUGGUCUUGCGUCUGAUUAGUUAGUUGGUGGGGUAACGGCCCACCAAGACAGCGAUCAGGAGCCGGCUUGGGGGAGUGGUCGGCCACAUUGGGACUGGGACACGGCCCAGACUCUACGGGAGGCAGCAGUGGGGAAUCUUGCACAAUGGGGGAAACCCUGAUGCAGCGACGCCGCGUGAUUUAGAAGGCCUUCGGGUUGUAAAAAUCUUUUCUAUGGGAAGCAGUACCAUAGGAAUAAGGACCGGCUAAUUACGUGCCAGCAGCCGCGGUAAUUC
Molecule: ribosomal RNA, 406 nt
Filed under: uncultured bacterium
Lineage: Bacteria
Description: partial 16S ribosomal RNA
Rfam family: Bacterial small subunit ribosomal RNA
Source: RNAcentral